CAAAUCCAACGUCUCUCUGAGACACCGUUGAAAUAUAGUGGAUCGGGCCUGAGGAAAGGGGGAAACCUCACAUAUCCUUGUCCGAUCUGCGAAAACUCACUAGAAACUGUUGAUCAUUUGUAUGCUUCUAACAAAGAAA
Molecule: unclassified non-coding RNA, 139 nt
Filed under: uncultured fungus
Lineage: Eukaryota; Fungi
Description: sequence contains ITS1, 5.8S rRNA gene
Source: RNAcentral